This is a long non-coding RNA of Perca flavescens (yellow perch), 579 nucleotides long. RefSeq lists it as uncharacterized. Lineage: Eukaryota; Metazoa; Chordata; Actinopteri; Perciformes; Percidae. The transcript is spliced from 3 exons. The record is from RefSeq and is a predicted model, not a curated record.
CUACAUACACUGGCUGAAAUCUGUCCGAGAGUUUGUGACAUUUGUGUCUAUUUCCAUGUCUCACCUGGACAGGAAGGCCUGGUGAUGUUUGAUGGUGUCCAGCUCGUACGUGGAGGAGUCGCUGCGCUUGCGUGGGAGCUGUCUCUUGGGGUCGUCGGGCCCCGAGCAGCGAGGGAUGUCGAUGUUGCUGCGGCUGAGAUGGCGGCUUCCUUCAAGGGAGGGCGUGGAAGGAGAGAUGCUGUUUACGACUAUGCCCGGAGAGAGAAGGAUUUUGUUGCAGCCGUACCAGAGCCAGUGUCCAGGAUGUUGCCUCCGUGCAGGACCAGAACGAGGACGUGAGUUUUGGACGAUUGAAGACACUGCUGAGACAAACAGUCCUGCAGGUACAGGACAGACGGGAAGGAAACAGGGUGAAAAGAGAUGACGGAGCAAGCAGAUUACAGGAAUAUAUGGGGAAAGGAGAGAAGAGCAGCGAGGGAGACAAAUGCAGGGUCGUUGGAGCUCCACUUGGUGAUCUCCUUGGCAAACAUCUCCUCGUUGUCAGAAAAGUCCUCUGCAAGACACACAGAACACGUCUAA